This 479-nucleotide ribosomal RNA is filed under the name uncultured bacterium. RNAcentral describes it as "partial 16S ribosomal RNA". It matches the Rfam family "Bacterial small subunit ribosomal RNA", at positions 28 to 507 of the family's 1533-position model. The record is from RNAcentral.
GAUGAACGCUAGCGGGAGGCCUAACACAUGCAAGCCGAGCGGUAUUUGUUCUUCGGUACAGAUAGAGCGGCGCACGGGUGCGGAACACGUGUGCAACCUGCCUUUAUCUGGGGGAUAGCCUUUCGAAAGGAAGAUUAAUACCCCAUACUAUAUUUAUUUGCAUCCCUUGAUAUUGAAAACUCCGGUGGAUAUAGAUGGGGACGCGCAAGAUUAGAUCGUUGGUGAGGUAACGGCUAACCAAGUCAAUGAUCUUUAGGGGGCCUGAGAGGGUGAUCCCCCAGAAUGGAACUGAGACACAGACUAGAAUGGGACGGGAGGCAGCAGUAAGGAAUAUUGGACAAGGGAGUAGGGCCUGACCAAGCCGUGCCGCGGGAAGGAGGACGGCGCUAGGGGUUGUAAACUUCUAUUGAAGAGGGAUAAACCUAGUAUCGAGAGAGGAGCUGAAGGUACUAUACGAAUAAGCACCGGCUAACUACGUG